This 463-nucleotide ribosomal RNA is filed under the name uncultured bacterium. RNAcentral describes it as "partial 16S ribosomal RNA". It matches the Rfam family "Bacterial small subunit ribosomal RNA", at positions 28 to 507 of the family's 1533-position model. The record is from RNAcentral.
GACGAACGCUGGCGGCGUGCUUAACACAUGCAAGUCGAACGGAAAGGCCUUUUCGGAGGUACUCGAGUGGCGAACGGGUGAGUAACACGUGGGUGAUCUGCCCUGCACUCUGGGAUAAGCCUGGGAAACUGGGUCUAAUACCGGAUAGGACCGCACUUUAGUGUGUGUGGUGGAAAGUUUUUUCGGUGUAGGAUGAGCCCGCGGCCUAUCAGCUUGUUGGUGGGGUAAUGGCCUACCAAGGCGGCGACGGGUAGCCGGACUGAGAGGUUGUUCGGCCACAUUGGGACUGAGAUACGGCCCAGACUCCUACGGGAGGCAGCAGUGGGGAAUAUUGCACAAUGGGCGCAAGCCUGAUGCAGCGACGCCGCGUGGGGGAUGACGGCCUUCGGGUUGUAAACUCCUUUCGCCAGGGACGAAGCGUUUUGUGACGGUACCUGGAGAAGAAGCACCGGCUAACUACGUG